RNAcentral lists this ribosomal RNA (481 nucleotides) under uncultured bacterium. RNAcentral describes it as "partial 16S ribosomal RNA". It matches the Rfam family "Bacterial small subunit ribosomal RNA", at positions 30 to 506 of the family's 1533-position model. The record is from RNAcentral.
AUUGAACGCUGGCGGCAUGCCUUACACAUGCAAGUCGAACGGUAACAGGUCUUCGGAUGCUGACGAGUGGCGAACGGGUGAGUAAUACAUCGGAACGUGCCCAGACGUGGGGGAUAACGAGGCGAAAGCUUUGCUAAUACCGCAUACGAUCUAAGGAUGAAAGCAGGGGACCGCAAGGCCUUGCGCGUUUGGAGCGGCCGGUGGCAGAUUAGGUAGUUGGUGGGAUAAAAGCUUACCAAGCCGACGAUCUGUAGCUGGUCUGAGAGGACGACCAGCCACACUGGGACUGAGACACGGCCCAGACUCCUACGGGAGGCAGCAGUGGGGAAUUUUGGACAAUGGGCGAAAGCCUGAUCCAGCAAUGCCGCGUGCAGGAUGAAGGCCUUCGGGUUGUAAACUGCUUUUGUACGGAACGAAAAGGCUCUGGCUAAUACCUGGGGCACAUGACGGUACCGUAAGAAUAAGCACCGGCUAACUACGU